AACGCGAAGAACCUUACCUGGGCUCGAAGUGCCGGUGACCGCGGUGGAAACAUCGCUUUCCCGCAAGGGACACCGGUAGAGGUGCUGCAUGGCUGUCGUCAGCUCGUGCCGUGAGGUGUUGGGUUAAGUCCCGCAACGAGCGCAACCCUUACACUUAGUUGCCACCCGCAAGGGGGAACUCUAAGUGGACUGCUCCGGAUAACGGAGAGGAAGGUGGGGAUGACGUCAAGUCAGCAUGGCCUUUAUGUCCAGGGCUACACACGUGUUACAAUGCGCGCUACAAAGCGUCGCGAACCCGCGAGGGGGAGCUAAUCGCAAAAAAGCGCGCUCAGUUCGGAUUGCAGUCUGCAACUCGACUGCAUGAAGCCGGAAUCGCUAGUAAUGGCGUAUCAGAACGACGCCGUGAAUACGUUCCCGGGCCUUGUACACACCGACGCGUA
RNAcentral lists this ribosomal RNA (440 nucleotides) under uncultured bacterium. RNAcentral's name for it is "bacterial SSU rRNA". It matches the Rfam family "Bacterial small subunit ribosomal RNA", at positions 958 to 1399 of the family's 1533-position model. The record is from RNAcentral.